CAGUCGCCGCGGGAAAACGUAGGUGGCAAGCGUUGUCCGGAAUUAUUGGGCGUAAAGGGCUCGCAGGCGGUUUCUUAAGUCUGAUGUGAAAGCCCCCGGCUCAACCGGGGAGGGUCAUUGGAAACUGGGAAACUUGAGUGCAGAAGAGGAGAGUGGAAUUCCACGUGUAGCGGUGAAAUGCGUAGAGAUGUGGAGGAACACCAGUGGCGAAGGCGACUCUCUGGUCUGUAACUGGCGCUGAGGAGCGAAAGCGUGGGGAGCGAACAGGAUUAGAUACCCCCGUAGUCCCUGUCUCUUAUAC
This 301-nucleotide ribosomal RNA is filed under the name uncultured bacterium. RNAcentral describes it as "partial 16S ribosomal RNA". It matches the Rfam family "Bacterial small subunit ribosomal RNA", at positions 509 to 807 of the family's 1533-position model. The record is from RNAcentral.